This is a non-coding RNA of Drosophila suzukii, 1256 nucleotides long. The record is from RefSeq and is a predicted model, not a curated record. Lineage: Eukaryota; Metazoa; Arthropoda; Insecta; Diptera; Drosophilidae.
UCCCUUGAACGUGAACAUUAGUUGUUCGAAAUGGACGAGUUCAUAGCAGUACUUACAGAAACAAUCAAUCAAUCGUAUACUUUGCCCUUUACUAUUCCUAAACUUCCAUACCCAUUUAAUUUCUCACUCACAACAGUGGAUUAUUCGGUACCAACACCUCAUGAUAACGAAAUUAGCAACUUAUUCCCAACUUCAACGAUAUCUUCCAUCGAAAGCACAAGAAAAUCGACAAAACCAACAUCAUCACUUAAAUCUACUAAAGGAACAUCAGUAAAAUCAACAACCAAAUCCGUAAAGUCGACUGCAUCAACAAUAAAGUCUACAACAACCAAAUCUACGUUAAAGUCCACCACAGGAAAAUCGACAAAACCAACAUCAUCGCUUAUAUCUACUAAAGGAACAUCAGAAAAAUCAACAACCAAAUCCGUAGAAUCGACUGCAUCAACAAUAAAGUCUACAACAACCAAAAUCUACGUUAAAGUCCACCACAGAAAAAUCGACAAAACCAACAUCAUCGCAUAUAUCGUCUAAAAGAACAUCAGCAAUAUCAAAAACCCAACCCCAAAAGUCUACAACAAUCAAAUCUACGUUAAAGCCCACCACAGAAGCGUCCGCUUCAAAAAAAAAAUCUGCAUCAAUCAAAUCUACGUUAAAAUCUACCACAGGAACACCUGCGAAGUCUACAACUAAACAAUCUGCAAUAAAAACAACGCUGAAAUCUACAACUGCUACAAAAAAGACAGCAACAAUUAAAUCGACUCUGCAAUCUAAACCUCAAACGUCACAAAUGAAACCAAAAGCAACUACUGUUGUCCAAAAAUUAACGCAAUCCAAAAAGGGUAAAAAAAAGGUUACACUACCGUACUACCCAGAACAUACGAAUCUUCCCACACCGCCAAAGCCAGCGGUCCCCCCCACAAUUCAGAAGAGCAGGAUUAAGGCUAUCGUCAGUAACUUUGUGGGGAAAGCAAAAAAAAACCGGGUUGCAAGAAGUUGCUUUGAAACAGCGUUAAACGGGGCCCUAACCGUAAUUGUAGCAUUUCGUGAAGCUUUUGCGAACUGCUAUCUCAGAGAAGACAUUGAUCCUGUGUUGGUAAUACUAAAAAUAUGCUCGCGAAUAAUCACAAAGGCCCUACUGUCAUGUCGCUCUCUCUUCGGACCCAUGGUAAAACUUCAAUGCGCGGGUAUAUUGUUCGUAGCUCUUGCUGAUCUAAUAAAAGAGAUGGUGGAAGUAGCUCCAACACUCAGUAGUCGAG